This 87-nucleotide transfer RNA is filed under the name Glaciecola petra. RNAcentral describes it as "tRNA-Leu". It matches the Rfam family "tRNA". From Rfam's summary of the family: Transfer RNA (tRNA) molecules are approximately 80 nucleotides in length. The record is from RNAcentral. Lineage: Bacteria; Pseudomonadati; Pseudomonadota; Gammaproteobacteria; Alteromonadales; Alteromonadaceae. RNAcentral also lists the same sequence under 1 other name.
GCGGAAGUGGUGGAAUUGGUAGACACGCCAGCUUGAGGGGCUGGUGGCCUCACGGCCGUGCGGGUUCAAGUCCCGCUUUCCGCACCA